ACCCCGGUAGCUCAGCUGGACAGAGCAGCGGUUUCCUAAACCGCAGGUCGCGCGUUCAAGUCGCGCCCGGGGUACCA
This 77-nucleotide transfer RNA is filed under the name Lentisphaerae bacterium RIFOXYB12_FULL_60_10. RNAcentral describes it as "tRNA-Arg". It matches the Rfam family "tRNA". Rfam says of the family: Transfer RNA (tRNA) molecules are approximately 80 nucleotides in length. Their secondary structure includes four short double-helical elements and three loops (D, anti-codon, and T loops). Further hydrogen bonds mediate the characteristic L-shaped molecular structure. tRNAs have two regions of fundamental functional importance: the anti-codon, which is responsible for specific mRNA codon recognition, and the 3' end, to which the tRNAs corresponding amino acid is attached (by aminoacyl-tRNA synthetases). tRNAs cope with the degeneracy of the genetic code in two manners: having more than one tRNA (with a specific anti-codon) for a particular amino acid; and 'wobble' base-pairing, i.e. permitting non-standard base-pairing at the 3rd anti-codon position. The record is from RNAcentral. Lineage: Bacteria; Pseudomonadati; Lentisphaerota.